UACCGGCGGCUCGAGUGGUGGCCACUAUUACUGGGCUUAAAGCGUCCGUAGCUGGAUUGUUAAGUCUCUUGGGAAAUCUACCGGCUUAACCGAUAGGCGUUCAAGGGAUACUGGCAAUCUAGGGACCGGGAGAGGUGAGAGGUACUCCAGGGGUAGGAGUGAAAUCCUGUAAUCCUUGGGGGACCACCUGUGGCGAAGGCGUCUCACCAGAACGGCUCCGACAGUGAGGGACGAAAGCUGGGGGAGCAAACCGG
RNAcentral lists this ribosomal RNA (254 nucleotides) under uncultured bacterium. RNAcentral's name for it is "partial 16S ribosomal RNA". It matches the Rfam family "Archaeal small subunit ribosomal RNA", at positions 474 to 727 of the family's 1478-position model. The record is from RNAcentral.